RNAcentral lists this ribosomal RNA (449 nucleotides) under uncultured bacterium. RNAcentral describes it as "bacterial SSU rRNA". It matches the Rfam family "Bacterial small subunit ribosomal RNA", at positions 355 to 796 of the family's 1533-position model. The record is from RNAcentral.
UCGAGAAUCAUUCGCAAUGGGCGAAAGCCUGACGAUGCGACGCCGUGUGAGCGAAGAAGGCCUUCGGGUUGUAAAGCUCUUUCGCCUGGGAACAAGAGAGUCCGACGAAUAAUCGGAUGAUUUGAGUGUACCAGGUAAAGAAGCACCGGCUAACUCCGUGCCAGCAGCUGCGGUAAUACGGAGGGUGCAAGCAUUAAUCGGAUUUAUUGGGCGUAAAGGGCGCGUAGGCGGGAGUAUAAGUCAAAUGUGAAAUCCCGGGGCUCAACCCCGGAACGGCAUUUGAGACUGUGUUUCUUGAGGGUAGGCGGAGAAAAUGGAAUUCCACGUGUAGCGGUGAAAUGCGUAGAUAUGUGGAAGAACACCUGUGGCGAAAGCGGUUUUCUAGCUUAUACCUGACGCUGAGGCGCGAAAGCAAGGGGAUCAAACAGGAUUAGAUACCCGCGUAGUCC